This is an RNA transcript of Nerophis ophidion (straightnose pipefish), 1483 nucleotides long. It is a transcript of the gene named cell division cycle 37-like 1, with no coding region annotated. NCBI's taxonomy places the organism in Eukaryota, Metazoa, Chordata, Actinopteri, Syngnathiformes, Syngnathidae. The transcript is spliced from 8 exons. The record is from RefSeq and is a predicted model, not a curated record.
UUUGAGAGCGGCACACCGGAGUAGCAGUGAAGUUGAUGUUGUUGUCAUUUUCUGCUCCAGCUUCUCUUCUGUCCUGCUCCCCCUCCCCGGCUCUGGGAGCGUGGUGCUGGGGAGGAGAGUGUCCCACGCCGGUGGACUUGCCUGGGUGGAUACUUUAGUCUCACCGGGCAACUUUGGUUUUCCGACAUUUUUACAGCAAGGCGAGCUAACGCGGCUAGCCGAGCAGCGAUGGAGUGGCGGAGCAACAACGCCGACGCUGAGCCUCCUUGGCCGGCCUCGGGCGGUGGAAGUGUGGCCCCCACCCCGCAGACUUCACCGUGUGCCUGCGCCACGCCGUCCGUCUGCCAGAGCCCGCAGUGCUGCGUGAAGACCCCCGUCGUGUCCAGCUGGAUGCUGGCCGAAGUCCAGGACCGCCUGUGCUCUCUGAGCGUCCACUGCUCCGAGUCCCUGGAGCAGGAGCGCGCACGUACCCGGGCCUGCCCCGCCGAGCUGAUCAACACCGAGGAGGAGUGGCGGCGCAAAGAGAGCAUGCUGGGAGGAGGUCCGCAACCUGGUCGCGGACCCGUGCUGGAAGCCGUCGGGAGUUGGGACGUUUUCGAUAAGAGUAUCAUCAACGUCCAAAAUCAGCCUGCAGAAGCGGACGGCUGCGGGAAGUCGCUACAAAAGGAUGAGGAAGAGCUUCAGCACUUCGGCAUGUUGCGGCGAUGGGACGACAGUCAGCGGUUCCUGGCGGAGAAGCCUCAGCUCAUCUGCGAAGAGACGGCCAACUACCUAUUUUUGUGGUGCAUCCGACUCCAGCAGGAAGGGAAAGAGGCGCUGAUGGAGCAGGUGGCGCACCAGGCCGUCGCCAUGCAGUUCAUCCUGGAGAUGGCGUCCAACUCCGGGCAGGACCCCCGAGGCUGCUUCCGGCAGUUCUUCCAAAAAGCCAAAGAAGGACAAGACGUCUACUUGGAUGUCUUCCACGCCGAGCUGGAGGCCUUGAAGCGGCGAGUGCGGCAGCACGUGGACAGGUGUGACAGGGACAGCUGCAAUGAGCCCAGCAACGGCACCAACUGCAGACACGCCCCCAAAGAAGCCCAGCAGGUGGCGCACUCCCCCAGCAGGCGUCCCUGCGGGCCGUUGAUCGGCUCGGUGCGGUGGAGCAAGGACGAGGCGGCAGAGAGUGAAGACACGGCGCGCAUGAUGGAGACUUCCUAGGAGACUCACCGUGUCGGAACACACCUUGUAAUAAAAGGAAGCACUUUAGUCACGUCUCUAAUGCAGCCCUCCAUCUUCAUCAUCAACAUCAUCAUCAUCGGGUGUUUUUGGCCGGUGUGCCAGAUUGCUCAGGCUUCCAUGUCUCUCUCCCUCGCCUUGAUUUAAUAAACCCAUGGGCCGUGGAAUGAAAUCAGGUGCGUUCAAUGACACUGUGCAAGAAACAGACUUGUGGCUUUUUUUUGCCUCCUAUGAGAAAAGUCCUUUAUUAAAAUUACACUGGCACCAA